This is a long non-coding RNA of Mandrillus leucophaeus (drill), 343 nucleotides long. RefSeq lists it as uncharacterized. The record is from RefSeq and is a predicted model, not a curated record. The transcript is spliced from 2 exons. Lineage: Eukaryota; Metazoa; Chordata; Mammalia; Primates; Cercopithecidae.
CCAGUUUCUCCCUUACAUCCCAGUCCAGCCCCAGCCUCUGAAGUUCUCUCUCUACAUUAUGGAUCUGAUCAUAGCACACCUGCUUUACAGAUGUCCAAGCCACCUCCAUGGACCUACCCUGGCUAGUGUUGUGCUGGGAGCCACUGGGGACCCCAGGCCCUGGCCUGUCCAUACUUCUCAGCCACCCUACACAGGCCACCCACACGUGCUGCCUUUUAGGGCCUGAACCUUCAAAGGCUCCUCUCUGAGAUAUUCCCUGGUUCUGCCUUUCAGAUAUCACUCCCUGCUUGGAGCUCCACACCCUUUAUAAAUGUUCAUUGAAGUUAUCUAUACGGUGUGUUAA